CAAGGCUGAGAGUUUACUGCUCAAGGUCAUACGGCUGUUAAGCAGUGCAUUCGAGUGUGUCUGGUGAUGAACCAUAACCACAAAUUUAUUUUAUUCUCUCAGCCUGCCAGUAUCCAUGAGCUGCACCUCUAAGUCACCAGGCCCACAGCCUGAGACCCCCGCCAGGCCCUGGCACAGCAUCAGAAGAUGACAGCAACCCCAAGACAGCUGGAUGCCUGGGCAGUGCAGAGUACUGAGGAUUGAACCUAGGAGUACUGAGCUACAUCUCUAGUCUUACCCCUCACACUUAAAAAAAUUUUGAGACAGGGUAUUGCCCAGGUAAGCCUUUGAGAUUCUCCUGCCUCAACCUUCAAACAACUGUGAUUACAGUAAUGUGCCACACGGCCUAAUCCUGAUUUCUUCAUACACAGCGAAGGUUAAGAGCAAGGAGUUGAGGUCAGAGGCACCUUGGUUUUAGACUUCGUCUCCCUACCUUUUUACUCAGUGAUCUGAGGAUGCUUUCCAAACCUCUUUAAACUGCAGUUUCCUCUUCUGGCUUCUGGCAGAGAUAAUAACCCCAACCUUCCAGCAGGACUGAGCCCGAGGCCCCAGGAAUUUAGCGAGGCUGGCCACACUCUCUCUGGCAGCUUUAAGCCUAAAUAACCUGAGCGCAGCAGGUGGAAAGGAGUUAAGAAGGCCCCGCCCCCAGGCUGCCCCAGCCUUUCACAUGCUGAUGCCAGGCAAGCCAGGAGGAGCUCAAAGGCGGGGAGAUGGCAGCCCCCAACCCCCAAAGUUGCUUCCCGAGGUGCCCACCAGCAGAGCCCCCUCUCUUUUCUACCUCAAUCUCCCCUAGGCUCCAGCCUCCUUUCCCACCCCGCUGACAGAUUCCUCACACCUGGCAGGAUCACAGCCUGUCCUCCCGCCUACUCUCUCCCUGCUUGCCUUGCUCCUGAGGGCUCCUCUCUGCUCCCCAACACUCCAGCCAAACCAGGCCCUGGAUACCCGGUUCCCCACUUCCUUUUCUGUCUGCAGUGUACCAAGUUACCCACUUUCAGGGUCCAGCCCCAGGGCAGUGGCCUCCAAGGGCCUCUCCUUCCCCUUGGACACAGUGCUGUGCUUCUCUGAGCAGCUUAUCACUCACCAGGUCCGAGUCUUUGGUAGGCAGCAGGUGUCACAUAAAUACCUGGAGUUGGAAAGAGUAAGUCUAAUCCAACUCCCUCAGUCCCACCCUCCGUGUUUUGGUACUGGGGAUUGAACCCAGGGCCACUGCACAGAGCUACAUCCCCACUCUCCCCGCUUUUUGGAGACAGGGCUAAAUCACCAAGCUGGUCAGGCCGGGACUGAAUUUUCCACUCUCCCGCUCAGCCUCCUAGAGGGCUGGUUUUAUAUACCUUUGUCGUCUGAGACAGGCUGGACC
Molecule: long non-coding RNA, 1396 nt
Filed under: Heterocephalus glaber (naked mole-rat)
Lineage: Eukaryota; Metazoa; Chordata; Mammalia; Rodentia; Bathyergidae
Description: lncRNA (ENSHGLG00000035475.1)
Source: RNAcentral